This 712-nucleotide long non-coding RNA is filed under the name Ictidomys tridecemlineatus (thirteen-lined ground squirrel). Its description in RNAcentral is "lncRNA (ENSSTOG00000032297.1)". The record is from RNAcentral. Lineage: Eukaryota; Metazoa; Chordata; Mammalia; Rodentia; Sciuridae.
UGUGGCUGAUAAAACCAACUCAACUGGAAAAGAGCUCUUUGAGCCUGGCCUUGUAGACAAACUUUAAGUCUUUACUGUGGAACCAUCCAAGAUGACUAGCCUUUUCAAGUGGCAUAAGCCUAGAGGGAUUAGAACCACAACAAGAGGCCCAAGAACAGAGAUUCAAGACAAUGAGAGCCUUAGUUUUUUCUGUCUUAUAGAUUUUGAGAAUGGAGAAAGGAUUCAGUGUUUGGUGAGUGUCCUCUUCCUGUGUCCUCAGUUGGAGAAAGGGAUAUUUGGCUCUCUGGGAUCUUCAUAAAGUUAACAGAGAGAACUUCACAUGAAUCCUGUGGAGGACUGAAUGGUGGUUUCUCAAGGUCUUCAACUUACUACAUGUGAAUGCAAUCUUAUUUGGGGGGAAGAAAGAGUUUUGGUGGAUGCACAGUAAUUAAGACUAUCAAGAUGAGAUGAUCCUGGAUUAAUCAGGCGGGCUCAACUCCAAGGUCCAGUGUAUUUAUGAAAGACAGAAGAGGAAAAGGCCAUGUGAAGACAGAGGCAGAGAUUGGAAGCGUGCCAUCCAUCACAAACCAAGGAACACACCCAACUGCCAGAAGAGGGAAGAAGUAAGGAAGGUUCUCCCCUGAGCUUCCAAAGGGAGCACAGCCUUGCUGACCUUGAUUUUGGUCCUUUGGCUUCCAGAACCAUGAGAGAAUAAAUUUCUAUUGUUUAAAAU